RNAcentral lists this transfer RNA (76 nucleotides) under Chloroflexota bacterium. RNAcentral describes it as "Chloroflexi bacterium (marine sediment metagenome) tRNA-His". It matches the Rfam family "tRNA". From Rfam's summary of the family: Transfer RNA (tRNA) molecules are approximately 80 nucleotides in length. Lineage: Bacteria; Bacillati; Chloroflexota. The record is from RNAcentral.
GUGAGUGUAGCCUAGCGGUUAAGGCACCUGGUUGUGGCCCAGGAGACCGUGGGUUCGAAUCCCACCACUCACCCCU